AGUCCCGCAACGAGCGCAACCCUUAUUGUUAGUUGCCAUCAUUUAGUUGGGCACUCUAGCGAGACUGCCGGUGACAAACCGGAGGAAGGUGGGGAUGACGUCAAAUCAUCAUGCCCCUUAUGACCUGGGCUACACACGUGCUACAAUGGGAAGUACAACGAGUUGCGAAGUCGCGAGGCUAAGCUAAUCUCUUAAAGCUUCUCUCAGUUCGGAUUGUAGGCUGCAACUCGCCUACAUGAAGCCGGAAUCGCUAGUAAUCGCGGAUCAGCACGCCGCGGUGAAUACGUUCCCGGGCCUUGUACACACCGCCCGUCACACCACGAGAGUUUGUAACACCCGAAGUCGGUGAGGUAACCUUUUUGGAGCCAGCCGCCUAAGGUGGGAUAGAUGAUUGGGGUGAAGUCGUAACAAGGUAGCCGUAUCGGAAGGUGCGGCUGGAUCACCUCCUUUCUAAGGAA
Molecule: ribosomal RNA, 458 nt
Filed under: Listeria monocytogenes
Lineage: Bacteria; Bacillati; Bacillota; Bacilli; Caryophanales; Listeriaceae
Description: bacterial SSU rRNA
Rfam family: Bacterial small subunit ribosomal RNA
Source: RNAcentral